Molecule: ribosomal RNA, 467 nt
Filed under: uncultured bacterium
Lineage: Bacteria
Description: partial 16S ribosomal RNA
Rfam family: Bacterial small subunit ribosomal RNA
Source: RNAcentral
ACGAACGCUGGCGGCGUGCUUAACACAUGCAAGUCGAACGGAAGGGCCCUGCUUUUGUGGGGUGCUCGAGUGGCGAACGGGUGAGUAACACGUGAGUCACCUGCCCUUGACUUUGGGAUAACUUCAGGAAACUGGGGCUAAUACCGGAUAGGAGCUCCUGCUGCAUGGUGGGGGUUGGAAAGUUUCGGCGGUUGGGGAUGGACUCGCGGCUUAUCGGCUUGUUGGUGGGGUAGUGGCUUACCAAGGCUUUGACGGGUAGCCGGCCUGAGAGGGUGACCGGCCACAUUGGGACUGAGAUACGGCCCAGACUCCUACGGGAGGCAGCAGUGGGGAAUAUUGCACAAUGGGCGGAAGCCUGAUGCAGCAACGCCGCGUGCGGGAUGACGGCCUUCGGGUUGUAAACCGCUUUCGCCUGUGACGAAGCGUGAGUGACGGUAAUGGGUAAAGAAGCACCGGCUAACUACGUG